This 153-nucleotide ribosomal RNA is filed under the name uncultured Bacillus sp. Its description in RNAcentral is "partial 16S ribosomal RNA". It matches the Rfam family "Bacterial small subunit ribosomal RNA", at positions 338 to 485 of the family's 1533-position model. The record is from RNAcentral. Lineage: Bacteria; Bacillati; Bacillota; Bacilli; Caryophanales; Bacillaceae.
CCUACGGGAGGCAGCAGUAGGGAAUCUUCGGCAAUGGGCGAAAGCCUGACCGAGCAACGCCGCGUGAGCGAUGAAGGCCUUCGGGUCGUAAAGCUCUGUUGUUAGAGAAGAACAAGUACGAGAGUAACUUCGUACCUUGACGGUACCUAACCA